CCUCUUCUUGUUAUUGUGUAAUGUACAUAGUCAAAACAUAUAAUAUCCUGGACACACCUGGCUAUACUAUUGUUGUUUUAAUUCCUUAAAACCAAAAAAAGUUUCCAUAAAACUGAUGGUUAAUUGGUUACAUUUCGCGUCUUGGGAGUCUUCUACAGGAGCAGAAUUGGAAUAUAAGAAAUCAUGAAAAUGCUUGAUUAAAUAGUUACACUCGAGAAAUUGAAAGGAAUACACAUUGUAUCAUAACGCGUAGAGUUUAAUUAUUACUGAAUGAUUACCAUUUCACCGGGAUGAAAUUUGUAGGCCUUCGAAUAAUUUUG
This 320-nucleotide long non-coding RNA is filed under the name Capsicum annuum. RNAcentral's name for it is "long non-coding RNA (CANN_LNC015193)". Lineage: Eukaryota; Viridiplantae; Streptophyta; Magnoliopsida; Solanales; Solanaceae. The record is from RNAcentral.